GCCAGCCCGCUCAGAACUUAAAGGAAUUGACGGGGCCCGCACAAGCGGUGGAGUAUGUGGUUUAAUUCGAUGCAACGCGAAGAACCUUACCUGGUCUUGACAUCCCGGAGACCCUUAGGAAACUAGGGGGUGCUUCCAUCUGGAAGAAUCUGGAGACAGGUGCUGCAUGGCUGUCGUCAGCUCGUGUCGUGAGAUGUUGGGUUAAGUCCCGCAACGAGCGCAACCCUUGCCUUUAGUUGCCAGCAGUUCGGCUGGGCACUCUAAAGGGACUGCCGGUGUUAAACCGGAGGAAGGUGGGGAUGACGUCAAGUCCUCAUGGCCUUUAUGACCAGGGCUACACACGUACUACAAUGGCCGAUACAAAGGGCAGCGACACUGCGAGGUGAAGCCAAUCCCGUAAAAUCGGUCUCAGUCCGGAUUGGAGUCUGCAACUCGACUCCAUGAAGUUGGAAUCGCUAGUAAUCGUGGAUCAGCAUGCCACGGUGAAUACGUUCCCGGGCCUU
This 503-nucleotide ribosomal RNA is filed under the name uncultured Desulfobulbus sp. RNAcentral describes it as "bacterial SSU rRNA". It matches the Rfam family "Bacterial small subunit ribosomal RNA", at positions 903 to 1382 of the family's 1533-position model. The record is from RNAcentral. Lineage: Bacteria; Pseudomonadati; Thermodesulfobacteriota; Desulfobulbia; Desulfobulbales; Desulfobulbaceae.